ACGAGUUGCCCGAGUGGUCUAAGGGGACGGCCUUAAGAUCUCUGAUAUCUUAUCCGUUGUUUAUACGCGUGGGUUCAAACCCCACACUCGUCA
This is a non-coding RNA of Clavulina sp. PMI_390, 93 nucleotides long. The record is from the annotation of a GenBank genome assembly. NCBI's taxonomy places the organism in Eukaryota, Fungi, Basidiomycota, Agaricomycetes, Cantharellales, Hydnaceae.